GAUUCUGGCUCAGAUUGAACGCUGGCGGCGUGCUUAACACAUGCAAGUCGCGCGUGAAAGGACUUCGGUCCGAGUGAAGCGGCGCACGGGUGAGUAACGCGUGGAUGAUCUACCCAUGAGUUAGGAAUAACGGCUGGAAACGGUCGCUAAUACCAAAUACGCUCCGAUUUCAACUUCGGGGGAAAGGUGGCCUCUGCUUGCAAGCUACUGCUCAUGGAUGAGUCCGCGUCCCAUUAGCUAGUUGGUGGGGUAACGGCCCACCAAGGCGACGAUGGGUAGCCGGUCUGAGAGGAUGACCGGCCACACUGGGACUGGAACACGGCCCAGACUCCUACGGGGGGCAGCAGUGGGGAAUAUUGCGCAAUGGGCGAAAGCCUGACGCAGCGACGCCGCGUGAGGGGAAUGAAGGUCCUCGGAUCGUAAACCUCUGUCAGGAGGGAAGAACCGCCACGGUGCUAAUCAGCCGUGGUCUGACGGUACCUCCAAAGGAAGCACCGGCUAACUCCGUGCCAGCCGCCGC
This 520-nucleotide ribosomal RNA is filed under the name uncultured bacterium. RNAcentral describes it as "bacterial SSU rRNA". It matches the Rfam family "Bacterial small subunit ribosomal RNA", at positions 15 to 518 of the family's 1533-position model. The record is from RNAcentral.